Molecule: ribosomal RNA, 468 nt
Filed under: uncultured bacterium
Lineage: Bacteria
Description: partial 16S ribosomal RNA
Rfam family: Bacterial small subunit ribosomal RNA
Source: RNAcentral
GACGAACGCUGGCGGCGUGCUUAACACAUGCAAGUCGAACGGAAAGGCCCUGCUUUUGUGGGGUGCUCGAGUGGCGAACGGGUGAGUAACACGUGAGUAACCUGCCCUUGACUUUGGGAUAACUUCAGGAAACUGCGGCUAAUACCGGAUAGGAGCUCCUGCUGCAUGGUGGGGGUUGGAAAGUUUCGGCGGUUGGGGAUGGACUCGCGGCUUAUCAGCUUGUUGGUGGGGUAGUGGCUUACCAAGGCUUUGACGGGUAGCCGGCCUGAGAGGGUGACCGGCCACAUUGGGACUGAGAUACGGCCCAGACUCCUACGGGAGGCAGCAGGGGGGAAUAUUACACAAUGGGCGGAAGCCUGAUGCAGCAACGCCGCGUGCGGGAUGACGGCCUUCGGGUUGUAAACCGCUUUCGCCUGUGACGAAGCGUGAGUGACGGUAAUGGGUAAAGAAGCACCGGCUAACUACGUG